Molecule: non-coding RNA, 32 nt
Filed under: Homo sapiens (human)
Lineage: Eukaryota; Metazoa; Chordata; Mammalia; Primates; Hominidae
Source: RNAcentral
UGUGUGUUAACUUCUGGCCCUGGCUCUCAGGC